RNAcentral lists this ribosomal RNA (303 nucleotides) under uncultured bacterium. RNAcentral describes it as "bacterial SSU rRNA". It matches the Rfam family "Bacterial small subunit ribosomal RNA", at positions 355 to 676 of the family's 1533-position model. The record is from RNAcentral.
UGGGGGAUAUUGCACAAUGGGCGCAAGCCUGAUGCAGCGACGCCGCGUGGAGGAAGAAGGUUUUCGGAUUGUAAACUCCUGUCUUCAGGGACGAUAAUGACGGUACCUGAGGAGGAAGCCACGGCUAACUACGUGCCAGCAGCCGCGGUAAUACGUAGGUGGCAAGCGUUGUCCGGAAUUACUGGGUGUAAAGGGAGCGUAGGCGGGACAGCAAGUCCAGUGUGAAAUCUAUCGGCUCAACCGAUAGCUGCGCUGGAAACUGUGGUUCUUGAGUGAAGUAGAGGCAGGCGGAAUUCCUAGUGU